Molecule: non-coding RNA, 1408 nt
Organism: Lupinus albus (white lupine)
Lineage: Eukaryota; Viridiplantae; Streptophyta; Magnoliopsida; Fabales; Fabaceae
Source: the annotation of a GenBank genome assembly
CUCACGGAGAGUUCAAUCCUGGCUCAAGAAGAACGGUGGCGGAAUGCCUUACACAUGCAAGUCAGACAUGAAGUGGUGUUUCCACCGGUGGACAGGUGAGUAACAUGUAAGAACCUACCCUUGGGAGGGGAAAAACAUGUGGAAAAAACUGCUAAUAACCCGUAGGUUGAGGAGCAAAAGGAGGAAUCCGCCCGAGGAGGGGCUCACAUCUGAUUAGCUAGUUGGCAGGGCAAUAUCUUACCAAGGUGAUGAUCAGUAGCUGGUCCGAGAGGAUGACCAGCCACACUAGGACUGAGACACGGCCCAAACAACUACGGGAGGAAGCAGUGGGGAAUUUUCCUCAAUGGGCGAAAGCCUGAUGGAGCAAUGUCGUGUGGAGGUAGAAGGCCUCUGGGUCAUGAAAUUCAUUUCCCAGAGAAUAAGCAAUGGCGGUAUCCCGGGAUUAAGCAUCCGCUAACUUUGUGCUAGCAUCCGCUGUAAGAUAGAGGAUGCAACCGUUAUCCAGAAUGAUUAGGCGUAAAGCAUCUGUAGGUGGCUUUUUAAGUUCGCCGUCAAAUCCUAGUGCUCAACCCUGGAAAGGCGGUGGAAACUACCAAGAUAGAGUAUGGUAGGGGAAGAGGGAAUUUCGAAUGGAGCAGUGAAAUGCGAAGAGAUCGGAAAGAACACCAACGGUGAGAAUUUCCGAUGGAUAUUAGGCGUUGUGCGUAUCGGCCCAUGCAAUACUCUAGCUAACACGUUAAGUAUCUCGCUUGGGGAGUACGUUCAGAAUAAUGAAACUCAAAUGAAUUGACGGGGGGCCGCACAAGCGGUGGAUCAUGUGGUUUAAUUCGAAUCAAAACGAAGAAACUUACCAAGGCUUGACAUGUCACGAAUCCUCUUGAAAGAUAGGGGUGCCUUUGGGAACACGGAGACAGGUGGUGCUUGGCUGUCAUCAGUUCUUGCCGUAAGGUGUUGGGUUAAGUCUCGCAACAAGCUCAACCCUCGUGUUUAGUCGCCAACAUUGAGUUUGGAACCCUGAGCAAACUGUCGGUGAUAAGCCGGAAGAAGGUGAGGAUUACGUCAAGUUAUCAUGCCCCUUAUUCCCUGAGCGACACACAUGCUACAAUGGUCGGGAGAAAGGAUCGUGAUCCCGCUAGGGUGAGAUAACUGCAAAAACUAGUUCACAGUUCGGAUUGUAGGCGGCAACUCGCCUGCAUGAAGCCGAAAUCGCUACUAAUUGCCGAUCAGCCAUACGACGGUGAAUUCGUUCUCGGUCCUUGUACGCACCGCCUGUUACACUAUGAGAGUUGGCCAUUCCCAAAGUCAUUACCUUAAUCGCAAGGAGGGGAUGCUGAAGGUAGGGCUAGUGAUUGGAGUGAAGUCGUAACAAGGUAUUCAUAUGAGAUGGUGCGGCUGGAUCACCUCCUUU